GAGGGUAUAGGCUCAGUGGUAGAGUGUGUGCCUAGCAAGCACAAGGUCCUGGGUUCAAUCCCCAGCACCUCCA
RNAcentral lists this transfer RNA (73 nucleotides) under Camelus bactrianus (Bactrian camel). It matches the Rfam family "tRNA". Rfam says of the family: Transfer RNA (tRNA) molecules are approximately 80 nucleotides in length. Their secondary structure includes four short double-helical elements and three loops (D, anti-codon, and T loops). RNAcentral also lists the same sequence under 2 other names. Lineage: Eukaryota; Metazoa; Chordata; Mammalia; Artiodactyla; Camelidae. The record is from Rfam by way of RNAcentral.